This 460-nucleotide ribosomal RNA is filed under the name uncultured bacterium. Its description in RNAcentral is "partial 16S ribosomal RNA". It matches the Rfam family "Bacterial small subunit ribosomal RNA", at positions 338 to 795 of the family's 1533-position model. The record is from RNAcentral.
CCUACGGGUGGCAGCAGUGAGGAAUAUUGGUCAAUGGACGAGAGUCUGAACCAGCCAAGUAGCGUGAAGGAUGACUGCCCUAUGGGUUGUAAACUUCUUUUAUAUGGGAAUAAAAUGUUCCACGUGUGGGAUUGUUUAUGUACCAUAUGAAUAAGGAUCGGCUAACUCCGUGCCAGCAGCCGCGGUAAUUCGGAGGAUCCGAGCGUUAGCCGGCUUUAUUGGGUUUAAAGGGAGCGUAGGUGGUGUGUUAAUUCAGUUGGGAAAGUUUGCGGCUCAACCGUAAAAUUGCAGUUGAAACUGGCGAUCUUGAGUACAGUAGAGGUAGGCGGAAUUCGUGGUGUAGCGGUGAAAUGCUUAGAUAUCACGAAGAACUCCGAUUGCGAAGGCAGCUCACUGGACUGCAACUGACACUGAGGCUCGAAAGUGUGGGUAUCAAACAGGAUUAGAUACCCCUGUAGUC